AGGGAAUAUUGGACAAUGGGCGCAAGCCUGAUCCAGCCAUGCCGCGUGUGUGAAGAAGGCCUUCGGGUUGUAAAGCACUUUUAUCCGGAAAGAAAAGCGCUGGGUUAAUACCCUGGUGUCCUGACGGUACCGGAAGAAUAAGCACCGGCUAACUUCGUGCCAGCAGCCGCGGUAAUACGAAGGGUGCAAGCGUUACUCGGAAUUACUGGGCGUAAAGCGUGCGUAGGUGGUUUGUUAAGUCUGAUGUGAAAGCCCUGGGCUCAACCUGGGAAUUGCAUUGGAUACUGGCAGGCUAGAGUGCGGUAGAGGGUAGUGGAAUUCCCGGUGUAGCAGUGAAAUGCGUAGAGAUCGGGAGGAACAUCUGUGGCGAAGGCGACUACCUGGACCAGCACUGACACUGAGGCACGAAAGCGUGGGGAGCAAAC
Molecule: ribosomal RNA, 425 nt
Filed under: uncultured bacterium
Lineage: Bacteria
Description: bacterial SSU rRNA
Rfam family: Bacterial small subunit ribosomal RNA
Source: RNAcentral